Molecule: non-coding RNA, 46 nt
Organism: Schistosoma curassoni
Lineage: Eukaryota; Metazoa; Platyhelminthes; Trematoda; Strigeidida; Schistosomatidae
Source: Rfam
GCACUGCUUACGAGUCCCACAAUAGGACGAAAUGGCUGUCCAGUGC